GGAAGACGUUCGGUGACUUGAUGAGAGGUAUCAGUAGCUUCCCAAUGCUUAAUUCAUGCACUUAUCACCCCCCAUACACCUGCAGAGAAACGGAAUGCCAGGGACCAGUGUGGGAGUGACUAGUGCGCAAUACAGAAGCUCUGUGGCAUGAAAUAAAAUUCACUUGAAUCACCUCAGCGUGCACCUGCACGAGAAACUACAAGAAAGACAGAGAAGAGGCAGAAUUCAGAGUGGGGUAGGGAUGUAUGAGGGACAGAAUGGAGCAGAGGAGAGAGCCAAGAGGGGAGAUGGAACGAGAAAAGGAGAGAGGAGAGCAGAGUGAAACAGAGGAAAGGCGAGAGCCACGAGGGGAGAUAAAAGGAGAGGAGUGAGUAGUAAGUCCAUGUGCGCACCACCGGCAAUCCGGAUAGGACCCAAAGUGUCUUGAAAUUGACAGACUGAAGCCGUGGCUAUAUAAUACACCACAUGGUAUUGCUCCAGCCACCAGUAAUUCCACUAAACUACACUCUACAUAAUUACAGCUGGACUAUAUUAACCGGCACCCAGGGACAGGGCGCCACAUGGAAAGUAUGAGGGCUCAUGCAAUGCUGGCAAAAGGUUCCUCAGUCAUGGUUGAGUGCUUGAGUGCUUGAGCACGAGGCCGUCAUUGGGGGUUUUAAAUGUCUGCUCCAUCUAACAAAGCGGGAGCAGGCCCAUCACACAAACUUCCCAAAACUGCUGGACCUUGCUGAAUUGCUGGGUUGCUUGUGACUAUUUCACAAAGCUCAAGAUUGACAGGAACACAAACUACAGGUCCCACAUAAUAGUGCACGAAAUGUUGAAGAUUCUGGCUCAACUUGUGGAGGAGCCUAUCCUCCAUGUCAUGACAUCCAGACAUCAGUAGCCAUUGGCCUGGACGCUGAUGAAACUACAGAAAUGGCAACUAAUAAGCAGCUGGAUUUACAUGUCAGAUACAUGGACCAAGAGGUUCAACUUUACAACCAGUUCCUGGACCUGGUGUCAGUCCCUGAUGGCAAGGCAGACACCAUCAUUGCUGCCAUCGAGGAGGUGCUGCACAUCAAAAAGAUACCAACAGAGAGAUUGUACGGCCUGGGCACUGAUGGGGCUGCAGUGAUGACUGGUAUGGACACAACACAAAGUCUUAGAAUUACUAUUUUUACGGUAGUUCUUGUGAUACAAAUAAUUUCCCUCGUCUUCGAACACGACAACAUAGUGGUGUGGCAAAACAGCUAAAGGAUGCCUUCCCGUGGAUGGUGUCUGUGGCUUGUGCUGCCCACCGCCUUGCUCUGGCCUGUAAAGAUGCAUCAGCUGAGGUCUCCUAUAUGGACACUUUCAAGGAGCACCUGCAGCAGCUUCAUAGUUAAUUUGCCAAAAGCAGUAAGAAGACAGAAGUCUUAAAAGCUGCUUCAGCGAAAGGAAGUGAAGAAUGUUCGCUGGCUGUCCCAGCACCUGGCCGUGGCUAAUCUUCAGCGAAACCUCAGCGCAGUGUUGGCUGCAUAGUCUGAGGAGGUGGAGGUGAACAGGUGACCAACUGCUUAGGGCCUCUAUGCUUUCUGUGCCACCUGCAGCACUUUACCUGCAGGCGGACAUGCUGCCUCACCUGGCAUGGCUUUCAAAGGUAUUCCAAAAGGAGGAGGUAAACUUCCUGGCCAUAAAAGAGCAGCCCCCAGGGUAAUUUCUGAGCCAACUCCACCAGGACCUCGAUGACCCAAUGGGUCUGGGGGCAUUCAACAUCAAGGAGAAGGAGAGGAGAGGGAGAGGCCAGGUGGAGAAGACCAAGACUAGGGAGCAGU
Salmo salar (Atlantic salmon) is the source of this 1793-nucleotide non-coding RNA. The record is from RefSeq and is a predicted model, not a curated record. Lineage: Eukaryota; Metazoa; Chordata; Actinopteri; Salmoniformes; Salmonidae.